This 267-nucleotide long non-coding RNA is filed under the name Elaeis guineensis (African oil palm). Its description in RNAcentral is "long non-coding RNA (EGUI_LNC026706)". Lineage: Eukaryota; Viridiplantae; Streptophyta; Magnoliopsida; Arecales; Arecaceae. The record is from RNAcentral.
GACUGGAUUCGAGAGGCUACAGGACGGUAGCUGGUGGAGGAAUCCUGAGAGUGCUACGCGGCGAUAGGAUUGUGCUGGAGGGGAAGAAGGGGAGCAGAGGAUAUUAUUACCUGGCAGGGAGCCCAAUGCGAGGUGGAGCUUUGGGAGUCAGGUGGAGCCCAGAGCGAGGUGGAGCUCCAGGAGGUGGAUCGGGUACGAGACAGAAGACUCGGGAGGACGAGAGGCGACGCGCAAUGUGAGAUUCCUAUUGCCGCAGGACGAUGCCCC